This 506-nucleotide ribosomal RNA is filed under the name uncultured Alphaproteobacteria bacterium. RNAcentral describes it as "partial 16S ribosomal RNA". The record is from RNAcentral. Lineage: Bacteria; Pseudomonadati; Pseudomonadota; Alphaproteobacteria.
AAUCCGUUAGGUGUGUCACCGAAUAGCAUGCUACCCGACGACUGGCAUUCAUCGUUUACGGUGUGGACUACCAGGGGUAUCUAAUCCUGUUUGCUCCCCACACUUUCGCACCUCAGCGUCAGUAUCGAGCCAGUGAGCCGCCUUCGCCACUGGUGUUCUUCCGAAUAUCUACGAAUUUCACCUCUACACUCGGAGUUCCACUCACCUCUCUCGAACUCUAGACUGAUAGUUUUGGAGGCAGUUCCAGGGUUGAGCCCUGGGAUUUCACCCCCAACUUUCCAAUCCGCCUACGCGCGCUUUACGCCCAGUAAUUCCGAACAACGCUAACCCCCUCCGUAUUACCGCGGCUGCUGGCACGGAGUUAGCCGGGGUUUCUUCUACGGCUACCGUCAUUAUCUUCACCGUUGAAAGAGCUUUACGACCCUAAGGCCUUCAUCACUCACGCGGCAUGGCUGGAUCAGGCUUGCGCCCAUUGUCCAAGAUUCCCCACUGCUGCCUCCCGUAGG